Molecule: long non-coding RNA, 578 nt
Organism: Molossus molossus (Pallas's mastiff bat)
Lineage: Eukaryota; Metazoa; Chordata; Mammalia; Chiroptera; Molossidae
Exons: 5
Source: RefSeq, a predicted model, not a curated record
GCUGCAGGUGUCUGAGAGAGAGAGAGAGAAAGAGAGAGAGAGAGAGAGAGAGAGAGAGAUCGAGCUGAUGACUGCAACCUCUGCAGCCCAAGAGACCCAGCUGCAAAGAUGAUCACUAGAGGGCAGGAGAGAUUGCUUUAGAAGCCGGCUGGCUUCCAGCUGGGCGGCUGCUGCUGCGUAGCCUGGGCUGUGCUGUGGGGCUUCCCCAUCACAGCGCACCUGGGAACGAGGCUGUGUGAAGGGCGCGCGGGGUACAUGAGUGUGGUGUUGAUAAUAUAACAUGGAUGAAUCUCACAAACAUUAUCCUGAGAGAAAGAAGCCAGACACAAAAAAGUACAUGCUGUGGGAUUGGCUUCGUUUCUUUGAAAUUCUAGAACAGGCUCCACAAUCUGCAGCGAUGGAAAGCAGAACAUUAAAAGGAGACCUUCUGGCAUCAGGCUCUGUGUCGGGCACGGACACUCAAAGCCUAGAGCAUGGAGGAGGAAAUGGGUGAGAAAGCAGAUGAUGACUUCUCAGUCUCGCAGCUUCUAACACAGCGGAAAACUCCCCUGGACAUCCCUGCGAAUCCUGGCCCCUGG